RNAcentral lists this ribosomal RNA (319 nucleotides) under Grylloblattina djakonovi. RNAcentral's name for it is "SSU rRNA". It matches the Rfam family "Eukaryotic small subunit ribosomal RNA", at positions 386 to 702 of the family's 1831-position model. The record is from RNAcentral. Lineage: Eukaryota; Metazoa; Arthropoda; Insecta; Grylloblattodea; Grylloblattidae.
GAGAGGGAGCCUGAGAAACGGCUACCACAUCCAAGGAAGGCAGCAGGCGCGCAAAUUACCCACUCCCGGCACGGGGAGGUAGUGACGAAAAAUAACGAUGCGGGACUCAUCCGAGGCCCCGUAAUCGGAAUGAGAACACUUUAAAUCCUUUAACGAGUAUCCAUUGGAGGGCAAGUCUGGUGCCAGCAGCCGCGGUAAUUCCAGCUCCAAUAGCGUAUAUUAAAGUUGUUGCGGUUAAAAAGCUCGUAGUUGAAUUUGUGUCUCACGCUGUCGGUUCAGGGCCUGUCCCUGUUUAACUGGCAUGUUUCGUGCGGACGUC